UGCUUGGGGAACUGCCCAGUCGAGGGGACAACUAUUGGAAACGAUAGCUAAUACCGCAUACGCCCUACGGGGAAAGGGAGGGGAGUUCUUCGGAACCUUUCGCGAUUGGAUGUACCCAAGUGGGAUUAGCUAGUUGGUGAGGUAAUGGCUCACCAAGGCAACGAUCCCUAGCUGGUUUGAGAGGAUGAUCAGCCACACUGGAACUGAGACACGGUCCAGACUCCUACGGGAGGCAGCAGUGGGGAAUAUUGCACAAUGGAGGAAACUCUGAUGCAGCCAUGCCGCGUGUAUGAAGAACGG
RNAcentral lists this ribosomal RNA (300 nucleotides) under uncultured Alteromonadales bacterium. RNAcentral describes it as "bacterial SSU rRNA". It matches the Rfam family "Bacterial small subunit ribosomal RNA", at positions 114 to 415 of the family's 1533-position model. The record is from RNAcentral. Lineage: Bacteria; Pseudomonadati; Pseudomonadota; Gammaproteobacteria; Alteromonadales.